This 22801-nucleotide long non-coding RNA is filed under the name Setaria italica (foxtail millet). Its description in RNAcentral is "long non-coding RNA (SITA_LNC003034)". Lineage: Eukaryota; Viridiplantae; Streptophyta; Magnoliopsida; Poales; Poaceae. The record is from RNAcentral.
GGGAGGGGACAAGCUCGUUGGCGACUCGUGUCCUUGGGACGCACCGCCGGGCCCGCGAGAUCGCCCUGGAGGCGCUCCACACCGGCGUGAGGCGAGCCUUUGGGGUCUUCGGCUCCCAUUACUCCGGCAUCAAUUUCGCCGGGAUGAGCAGGGGGUACGCCGCCGGCUACUCCGAGGCCGAGCUGGACGAGAUCGACGCGUCGGUGCUUGACCCGGCGGAGGCCUUGGCGAAGCUCCUCGAGGAUGAAGCCGUCCCGCCCGAAGAUCCCUGGACGAGUUAACUGUAUCGGGCUGGCGCCCCAGAUGUAAAUACAUUAGUUUCAGACUUGUUUUGUGAUUGCCAUAGAGGCCUUUUCUAUAAAUUGUCGUGAAAAAGUUUUCAAUCCCCUUUCUUAUUUUUUUGGAGUUGUAAAGUUUAGAGCGCUUUGUCGGGUGUGUCAAUAAGCAUUGAUGAGCGAAGGCACCGUAGCCGCUGGGGCGUAGGUUUUUUCGCAGUCCGAUCAAUCUUGCCUGAACACCGGUCGUGCACUCUCUCCUUUUCAUGCCCGAAAGUUCAGAAAGAGGGUCGGCCGGAAAGAGAAAGCAUUUUGAGAGGAUGUCAAGUGGCUUGGGCCAGAGCCCCUGAUAGCCCCCGAGGGAUGUGCGACCCUGAGGCAGAGCCAGGGUCGGAUAUCCCUGAGUUCGAAGCGAAACUUGAAUGGAUCCAACUUAAAAUUCUUUUUUCCGUAAAAUUUUUAAUUUACAGAAGUGUCUAUCUACAAAACUUGGAAACGAAAGCUAAGGGUAGAAGCGUCUUAGCUGUUCUAUGUUCCAGGCGGAGCCGCCCCUAUGGGGGAGGCCCGCCGGCGCGCGCCCGGCCGCUCGCCGCUAUCCUGGCGGUGGAGCCGGGGAUGGGGGGACGAGCGGGCCAGACGAGGAGAGGGAUCAGCUCGAUCCCCUCCCCGGUGGCGAGGAAGUCCAGACUCCCGAAGCGGAUCAGGGAGAAGGAGCGAAGCUGGCGUCGUGGUUGGCCAUCUGAAGCUGGAGAUGUACGCGCAAAGGUCCCCUACCUGGCGCGCCAACUGUCGUUGUCAAGAUUAGCGGGUCAAGACUUAGACUAGUAAAUUUAUUUUAUGCACGUAAGGCUUCAGAUGGUGGCGUGAGAGACACAGGUUUUAGACUGGUUCGGGCAAAAGGAACACCCUACGUCCAGUAUCCAGGGCUGCUCGUGUUGCCCACGCGGGGUUCUGUAGUAGGGGUUACAGGAGUGUGAGAGAGGGAACCGGUCCCAGGUCUCUUGGAUGUGCACUGAUGCUCUAGAAGGGUGUGUGCGUGUGUUCUGUUGGCUUGGAAGCAUUGUGGUGCUUUUAGUUGUCCUUCGAGCCUCUUCUUGUCUCCGGCCCCCGAUUCCUCUUUUAUAGCAUGAGGAGGCCACCGGGGUUACAGGUGAGACCAAGUGUGGAGAGCAGUAAAAAGAUAAACAUGGCUAGUAAAAAGAAUAACGAGAGGGGAGGUACAAGUCCCCAGGUCGCUAGUGUCCACGCCGGCCUUCGGCUUCUACCGGUGCGUUAGCCGGAAGGGGGUGGCGGCCGCUGCAUCCUAUCGGCGGCCUCCUCGGCAACUGUAGCCGCCGGACACGAUGAUGGCAUUUUGUCGUGACCCUCGUGUCCGCUGGGGGAGGCGGCGGAUCUUGCCGUCCUGCUGAUGGCCUGUGCAGAGCGGACGUCGCAUCCCUACCACCGGGCGCGCGGGGCACGAGAGCAGGCGAGGCUUCUUCCUCCCUAGGAGGUGCAGCUCAUGAGUGCCUUGUGGCCAAUCGGAGAAGGUCGCAGCCACUAUAGCAGAUACUGUGCGGCCGCGCAUGGGUACUUGCGAUGGGUUGCGUGGAGGCGCGGAGAUCCUUUCUUCUGACAGCUUUGUGGAGCAUUUAUGGUGGAAUCGACAGGGGGACCCAUGAGAUCCGCGCCCGAGGCGGAUACUUGUCUGGUGGGCCCGGACCAGCUCGACCCUUUAUGCUUAGGGUCGGGCGAAGCGGAGGUUUGCGGUGGGGGAUCGGAUGCCCCCGACCCCGGUCCUGCUGUCGGGCGAGGCGGAGCUUGGUUUCGUGGGGGUCGGGGACGCCUGACCCUAGGACGCCGGGUCGGGCGAGGCGGAGUGUGAUCCUUGCUCCCCGUGUUGGGCCGGCGCUAGCCUUGUUACCUCAGGUGGGCCUGGGCCUUUACGUUUUGUCGUCUCCAUGGGCUUGGGAGGAGUCGUUAAUAUUUCCCCCCCAACAGGUACCCAACCUCCUAAGUACUCUAUUGGAACCUUUCAUUUUAGCUCUAGGGUUCAGGAUGAAUGCAAAAGAAUAAAGCAAAGGUAUGUCCCUCCAGUAUUUAUUAUAUUUGUCUAUCAUAGGUUGAACCACAUGUCUCAUGUGAGUAUCAUUAGCAUAAUUCUUUAAGUGCAUAGCAAUCUUAACAAGAUAAUGAAUCAUAAGUGGAGAUGUAGGAUAGUACACACCAGCAUCAUAAAACAGUUCAAAAAAUCUAAGCACUUUUUCUGCCAUAGCCCAAUUAUCAACAGUCAAAAGCAAUUGAUCACCUUCAGCCCUAGGAUAUUGAGCAAUGAUGAAAGUAGUGAAUGGGGACUUAUGAGGAAACAAAUGCUUAAGCAUUAGAUAUGUAGAAUUACACCUAACUUCCAUGUCCAGCUAAAACUUUCUAGGCCUAAUACCAGUGACAAUGCAAUAUAUGCAGCAAUUCUCUGGUUAGAUGAGUUUAAGAAAGAUAUUGCAAUUCUAAAUUUCUCAAUCAAUGGCUUAAGAGCAGUUAGAGCCUCCUUAACAAUCAGAUUGAUAAUAUGGCAUGCACAACACUGAUGCAAGAACAAAGAAUUAACUGCAUUGUCUAAUUCAUCCCUAUCAUCAACCACAACUUCAAUACCAAGAUAUUUAGAAAGAACAAAUCUAAGUUUUUGCAUGGCUGAAAUAUUAGAUGAUGCAUUAUCCAACGUAAUAGCAAACACUUUUUCUGUCAAACCAUAAUCAUCAAGCAUAGAUGCAACAUGAUCAGCAAUGUUUUGACCAUUGUGUGAACAAUCAAUCAACCUAAGACCAAGCACUCUCUUCUCUAGUUGUCAAUCAGAGUUUUAUGUAGUGAGCAACAACACUAAGGUAGUCCUCUUUGGCAUUACCAGACCAAAUAUCAGAGGUUAGACACACACAAUUAACACCAGCAAAAUUUACAAUCUCAACAAGCUUAGCCUUGCAAUCAGUGAAGUAUUUGAGCAUGUCUCUAAUGGUGGUUUGCCUAGAUACUGAAAACAUAUUUAGGAUUAUGAGCAGCUCUAAUGUAUUCUUCAAAUGCAUCAGAUUCACCCAAAGAGAUAGGAACAUCAAGCCUAGCAAGCAAUCUAAUCAGUUGAGUGCCAGCAACAAUAGGACAGUACUCCCAAUUACGAAUACUACCAUAAGGAUUAAAAGAGAUUUGUGACUAAGACAUGCGACUUUUUUCACGCCUUCUAGGGCAUUUAUCCCUAUGGCAGGUGAGGUGACCAGUGCCACCACUAGAGCGCUCAGAGUAUUCCUUAGAGCAAUGGAUGCAUUUAGCUCCAUACCUCACCUUCUUACCAUCCACUAUUUUGAAGAGCUUCUUGAAAUCGAGUCACACGGCCGAGGUAGAGGGGCGUGAGCGCUUACCGUUGUUCUCUUCCCCGUCCACUUCUUGGUCAUCGAUGGGAGCUUGAGCCACACGGCCGAAAAGCUCUGCGGUGUCCUCGCGCAGGUCGUCCUCAUCAUCAUCUCUGGCCAACCCGCACAACCGCCUCUCUUGGUUCGACCUGCCCUCAACCGUCUCGUCGUCGUCGGAUCCAGCCAUCGUCGCACGCCGACACCCCGAUUCCUUAACGGCUGCACACAAACAAGAGUUAGUUAGUACAGAUCACGGUUCGGGUUAGGGAUUGACUGAUUGAGUUAGAGUUACGGUUAGGGUUAUGGUUAGGGUUAGGUUCUCCUACCUUGACAGCCGGAGCACCGGGGUCACCGGCGAUGUCGACGAAGCACGGAUCCAGCGAGAUCGACUACGGAUCUGGCGAGUUUGACCACGAAUCCGGCGAGGACGACGCAGGACUUGGCGAGGCCGACAUGGAGAUGACGAGUAGGACGACGCGAAGCGAUAUCAAGAAUAGGGGAUAGGGUAUACAUGGUCGUGCAGCGGUGCCCCAAGAGGUCAAGAGGCCACCGGAGGGGGAGAAGAAGAGAGAAGGUCGGGGGAUGGAGAGGAAAGUCGCACGUCGGAGUCGUAGAGGAGAGGGAGAGAGCUAGAGUCCAGAGAGGAGAGCGAGCGAAGAGAGAGAGUGGCUGCGCAAAUGAGCUAGGGUUAGGGAUGGGGGAUGGGCACUGCGGCCGCGGCUUAUAUCCGCUCCCCCUCCAACGGUCAGAUUUAACGGUCGGAUGGAGCAGGGGAGGGGGAUCCAACGUCUCUCAACGUCUGAGUCGUGCCUUAUGCGGGCCGGCCUAUUAAGCGUGCCGUGCCUGUGCCAGCACUGCGGGCCGAAAUGGCGGUCCAGACACGGCACUAAGGCCCGAGCACCACGGGCCGGCCCUACCACGAGCACAGCAUCCAAUCCGACGGCGGGCAACCCCGCCGGCCGGCGCGGGGGAGCUAUAAAUGGGCCGGCGCGCGGCCCAGCUCGGCGUGCGCUGCGGCCGGGUCGGAUCUGAGACGAGCACCCCCAACUUAUUACCAUUUCAUCCUCAUCCACCCCGCCUCCUCCCGUCUCCCCCUCCGCCGGAUCUGAUCGGAUCCGCCCGACCACCCCGCGCCGCCGCCGCAGGUGAGCAUCCCCUCCGUCCCCGCCGCUCUCGCCGUCGGUCCGCCGUUCUGCUCUGAGUUCGGUGGGGUUUGCCCGCCGUAGGGUUUUCCUUUUGUUUUGUACUAGUAUCUUGUUUUCUCGGGGAGCCAGGGUGGUUCUUGAUCCGCCGCGCUGGCAAUGGUUUGCCUGGUUGCUUCGUGCCUCGGAUGGUAGUCUUGCGCGCGCGCGUCUUGCGCAUUUCUAGCCAUCAGCGUACAAGAUUGGUGCUCCCAUAACAGGUUUUGCGUUUUUUUUUUGUUAUAUGUACCGCGAAAUGUUUCCUUUUUCUUUUGCUAUAAUUCGAUAGUUAGAGAUGGGGGUUUCUUUCGUACCCGCCUGUUUGGAACGGGUAGUGAAUGGUUCUUGUCACUCGUAGAAUUCCUUGUGCCUUUCAUCCACUAGCCACACAUAUGGACCAUACUCUUGUGCCGGCGGAUCAGAAAUGCCAAACUUUUUAUUGGAGGAAUUUAGUUUACUUUGCAUGACGAAUCUCUCAGCCUGGAGUGUGUGGUCUUGUUAUGUGCCAACAAAACAGAAGGUUUUCAUGGCCAUAAGAUACAAAGAUGCCCUUUUUGUUGCUUGUUUAUUAGACUAAUGUUUCCUUUUUAUAUUUCCUUUUACUACAUGAGACAAUAGGACAAAUUUCGGUAAAGUAUUCUGGCCUACUGUGUUUGCUAAGAAUCCAGAUUGUCCUGUCAGUGUGAUGUAUAAACAUUUCAACAAAUAGAUUAGUUAUUGGUCUUAUGUAUAUGAGCAUAUCAAUCUCUGCUUUGUUGAUCACGAAUUUGUUUGGUUGCAGUAAUUUUUACUUUGCCUGAGCGAUUUUUUCUACCAUAUUGUCUGUAACUAAACAUUUGUAUUGCCUGCUGCAGAUCAGAAAAGAUGGCCGCAGUUGACACCUUCCUCUUCACCUCGGAGUCCGUGAACGAGGGACACCCUGACAAAUCCGCGGUGGCGUCCGCGGCCGAGGCGGCGACCACGGACGUGGAGCUGCUCAAGCGAGCCUGGCGCAACGAGAAGGCGGUGCCAGAGAUCCUCCGCUUCGACUCCCCACUCGUCUCCCGCGUCCGCGAGCAGAUCCAGCUCCUCGUACGCCCUUUGCUUCUUCUUCUUCUCGCCGUCCCUCCUCCUCUCCCUCUAUUACUUGUCUGGGUCUGAUGCGGAUUCGCUACUGCGAUGCCACCAGGAGGAGACGCUGGAUGAUUUCGCCGACAGCGGUGUCGACGAUCUGGUGGUCUCGCUCUACCAGAUGGACCUCGACCGCACGCUCUUCCUCCUGCGCUCCUACCUCCGCCUCCGUCUGCAGAAGGUCAGUCGCAUCAAAUCCCAAUCUGUUCGCUAAAACUGACCAAUUGUAAUUGUAAUUACCGAAUUGUUGCCAGUUUGAUUACUUGCUGGCUAUAGAUCGAGAAGUACACGAUGCAUAUCUCCAGGUCUGACGACCUCCUCAGCCGGCUGUCGCUGCAGGAGUGCCGGUUCGCUAAGAGGUAUCUUCUGACUGUGCGACUGGCAUUUGCCCCAAUUAUUUUGCAUUGGCUUGUGAAACUAGAUGAUUCUGAUGGGAAUCAAUUUCUUGUGUUUGAUCUGUCACUAGUUGCUCUGAGAUCAUGGAGAAGCAUCUCGAACAGUCGGUGCUGUCGAAGCUGCCGUAUGGCUAUGACUCGGUUACCAGACAGUCCUUAUCGAGCACUGAGGAUGACAUGGGUAUGUACCCUUCACUUGAUCUGCCAAAUUUUGGAGUUCCUUGUCCUGUUGCCGUACUGCUUCUGUCGUUUGCAGCUUCAGUCAUUACAUAUUUUGCAUAGGCUGCUGGAUGUGAAUAGUUGGUAAUAUAAGUUUCACCAUUUUUUUUGAGUUGGGCGGCCUGAUAGUUGGUACAAAGUAUCUUUGGGAAAUCUGGUCAUUAGUUGUACUCAAAAGUAGCGUUCCUACAUAACAAAAUUUAGCUUUCAAGUUAAUAGCAGCUCGGGUAUAAGAAUGCCUCUUGCCCUCAUGUGAUGGUUCUGAUUACCUACCGCAUCUUGGGACUUCCAUCCCCAAAUUAUCAAUAUGUUCCCACCAGGUUGCCAUGAAGCAUGACAAUUUUAUUUGAUUCUGAAUUUUAGACUGCCUUGUCCUUAUCAGGUUGAAAUUUGCUGUUCUGACAGUAUUCUUAUUAUCCUAAUGACCUCAUCCAUUGAUGCGUAACUAAUGCUUGAAUCUGUAAACUAAUGCAUAGGGACACGUUUCUAUUUGAUUUAUCACAUUUGGAUGCAUCAUAAUCUUAAUUUCAGUAGCCUAAUGGAAAGAAACGAACUGAGAGUUCGUGAUACGGUCACAAAAUGAUAAUCUGCAAUUGUAUAAAGUUACACUCCAGAGAGUGAUCAAGGAGAGACCCGACCAGGCACAAAUGUCAGUGUAUCUUUCUAGCAUAAUAACUAGGUUCUCAUGUCUCCCCAAUGCCCAAGGAUCCAUGUUCAGAAUCUUUAAAUCUGUAAAGCUGUCGGCCUGUUGCAUGAUGAAAAUUACCAAUCCUCUAAUGAACUGUUGUGCAUUUGGUUAAGAAACACUUUUGAAGAAAGCAUUCAGUUAAUAAUUAACUUUCUUCACGAAAGAGUUAACUAACAUGUCUGCAGUCACAAACAUCUAACACAGCUUUUGGAGAUGAUCACUAUAGGGCGUAGGCAUAGCUAGAACAGAAACCUAGCUUCACGUUUUCUAGAACAAGCCUUUUUUUGCUUCACUUUGAGGCAAAGUUCAAGAGUAAAUAAACAAUUCUUCCGUAUUUCUGAAAAAGUGAAUGCUUUUGAAUUUUUAUUUCUUAAGUUGUGGAAUUUAGGAAUAUCCAUGUAAUAGACCAACUUCUAAUUUGAUUUCGAUUUGAAAUGCCUUGUUUAGUGCCAGAGCCUCAGCUUGACACCUUUGUCUUCUGCAAGACUAAGAGCGACGUUGGAGCCUUCCAGCUAGAUGACAUGUAAGUGCCCAGGCACACUUCAAUUCUUGAUUUGCACUGUUGCAUGCUUUGCUUACCUGUGAUGCUUCGAUGCAGUGGAGAGGAGGUUGUGGACUUGGUUGCCAACGACUUGUAUGUUCUUCGGUACAAGUCCAUCAAGGGCCUGGUCGAGGGUGGCCAAAUCGAUCUUAUCUGAUGUCAAUCACAAAUCAGUACCUGUAAAAGAGCUUUUGGUCCAAGAUUCUUCUGAAUUCUUGGAACGGAUGGAAUCAAGGGGGGAAUGAUAUUUGCUCUGUAUCGCCACAAAGAUAACCUGAAUUGGUAAAUACCGUCUAAGUGCAGCAUGUGGCUUAGGCUCCAUAUGUAAGACUCACAUUGGAUUGUAUUUUGUAAGUUGUACAUGAAUGUGAUGGUACCAAACUUAGUUUAUCUAUUUUCGUGGGUUUUCUCUCCAUUGUUAAUGAAAUCAGGAUCAUGGUCAUCGUCAUCAGUUCAGUUUUGCUUUAUGAUCAUGUUGCGUUGGCCCAAGAUUAAUCUAUCCGAAAAGGUCACCCUUCCUCAUACUUAGUUUUGGUGAUACAACUAGUGGCUCAUUCAAGUUAUCGAAAUUUUUUUUUUUUGGCUUGAAUAGAAGGUUCAUAGUGUUCGUCAGUUCAGAUUCUGAUCAUAAUGUUUUUUUUCAAAGAAACUACGGCAACCCAUGAACUUAGGGACUGCAAUGGACUAAUGAACUUAGGGAUUGCAAUGAGGGACUGCAAUGGACUAAUGAACUUAGGGAUUGCAAUGGACUAAUUUUUAGUUCGAGUCAUAUGGGAUGUUUGGAUACCAAUUAGAAGGAUCAUCCAAGUAACGGUAUCUUUGGUGCAUGCAAUGAACCGAAGAAACCAAGUGAUAGUAUCUAUGGUGCAUGCAAUGAGGCAAAGAAAUCAAGGAAAACGGCACAAGGAAAACGGCACCAUCGGAUGUUCCAAUGGCUCCUAGAAGCGUUGGAGGAAGCGUCGGAGGUUUUGGUAUGCUGCGGAAAAAAAAUUAUACAAUCAGCUUUUGCUUAAAUACCAUGUUUGAAGGUCGCUAGAACUUGUCAUUUGAGACAAGCAGAAUAUUUUUUUGUGUUAUUAAUUAUCCUUGUUUGAAGGUCAUCUUUUCUUGACAAGAAGGUAAUGGUAUUUAAACGGUUAAUAUUGUUCGAGAGCUUAUGAACAUGACUUAGUAAAUGCGGUUGUACAGUCGGUUCUUCUUAUAUAGUAGAAAAUGCUUAGGAAGGGAGAUUGAAAUACUAAGUUGUUUGAUCAGAGGGCUUCUUGGAGAUCAAGGAAAAACAAGAUUAGAAAACUCAGAUGGGAGGAUGCAUUUCAUGUUGAGACGAAAACAGGUAUCGAAAACAUAGCUCAGCAAUAUUUUAAGAACAUUUUCAAUAUAGAUCAUUAUGUACGCCCGAAGGCGGUAGUGCAUUUGUUUGAAAGGUGCAUUACUGAUAAUUUGAAUGACAAGCUAUGUAGACCUUUCUACUGUUGAUGAGAUUGGGGACACACUCUUCCAAAUUAGCAUCCUGAAAGGCUCUGGAUAAGAUGUUUUUCGAUCUGUUUCUUUCAUAGAAAUUUGGAGUACAUGUAGGAUGACAUGAUUGGGGCAGUCAAAUUGUUCUUUGUAGAAGGUUGUACUCCGGAAGGAGUGCAAGGAUCAAGAUGCCAAAAAGAAAGGAUUGAAUUAGGCAUCUAUAAUUUUUUAUCGUAGAGAUGUAAUCCUACCGCUUAACCAAAUUCACCCAUGUGCCUAGCAAGAAAGUGUAUCUAGACUAACACAGAGAAGUUUUGUAACCUUAUUCCAACCUUACACUGGCACAAUUUUUGUAGAAAUGUUAUUUUGCCUAAAGUAAAGAGAAGGAAAGGAACCUGAUUUUUUUUCUCUGGGUAUCAAAGAGUCACCACCCCUUCCUUUGUUCUCUUUACAGCACCCGCACAAGGCUAUCACUCCACCUUGACCCAUGUGAAGGUCGAGUAAUUUUUAGUAGUAAUCCAUUCUCCAACUCUGAGCUAAUGGGUUCCAUAUCAAGCACAAGCUUUUAGGGGCUUCCAUAGGUUUUCUCCUUCAGAGCAACUCAAAAACUCCCUUAAAAUUGUCCCAAACCUUAUUUAGAGAAAAACAAAAAAAAUUUACCUCCAACAGUUCCCCAUCCUUCCCGUAAAAAUACGCGGACGUCAAAAACACCUCUGUUGCCCCGCAUAUAUGCGGGAGUCCGGUCCUUCCCCAAUCGCCCCCGAUUCCAGCGCACUGAACAAAAAUCCUUAUGUUCACGCGGAAGAGCAGAGCCAGCUUGGAGAUGAAGGCCACCUCGUGGUUGCUGGCGCUCCGCGCUGCCGCCACCAUGGCGGAGGAGGACGACAUGGCGCCGGGGUUGUGCCGCUCCACGCGCUUGAUGGCGACCUCGACGGUGUGUGUCAUGGACCGGCUGGGGAAACGACACCCAUUGUCGUGGUCGGAACUCAUCCUGCGCCUGCUGCCGUCAUGCCACAUCGACAGCCUCCACUUUAGGAGCGUCUGCCGCCAAUGGCACCUCGCCGAGCGGCGGCAGCGGCCCCACCUACCUCCGGCGCGGCCCCUUGCCUGCCUGAAUGACCGCACCUUCAUAAGCCUUGCCGGCGGUGAGCUUUUUCGCUUCCGUUCGGAUCACGUGGAUGUACUUUGCCGCCGGUUUCCCACUUGCCGUGGCUCCUUCAGCGGCUGCAGUACGGCGAGCUUUCCAAGUGCUUCCUAAUCAAUCCUGUCUCCGGUUGGCUUGACGAUGGCACAAAAAUCAGCAGAUUCCCCAUGCGCUUGAUGGCGACCUCACGGCCGUCAGCGAGGGAUGCGCUUGAUGGCGACCUCGACGAGCUGGGGGUAGGCGCCAGCGUCCUCAUGGGCAGAGGAGAGUAGCUGCAGGGGUAGCAAACGGCAGCAACGCCUGCGCUGCCACAUAGGGGCUCGGAGCCCGACCAGACGCCGCAAAGGCACGACGCUGGAGAUCGCGAGGGGGAGGUGCGUGCGUGAGGGGUAGGUGACCAGCUAGGCCCAAUUACGAUGAUGUGGCAUGUUUUGAAAUAUUGGGAGCUAGUUAUUAGCGAUCUGCUGUGGGUUGAUAUGUUUUUGUGGGAAAAUAUUUUUGGAAGACUCCCUAAUGCAUAAUUUUAGGGAAGAAUUUUUUGGAUACUCUUGAAGUUGCUCUAAAAGCGCAACAAGAAUAACACCAUCGAGCUAUCCAAGUUGUAGGGACCGCGACCAUGACACCUUAAUAGGGGAGGGUAAAUUAGGUUUCUAAAAACCAAGGCUCCAAGCACAUAUAAAAAUAUAUUCCAAUUCUAUUCAGGUCUGCACUGGGUUUUUCUACGUGUUGCUAUCCCUAGUGCAUAAAAGUUUUGCACCCUAUGUUUCUAUCCUACAAGCUCACACAUAACAAUACUAGGAAACAUAAAUAUAGAAAUAAAAGUGUAAUAUGUAAUGUGCAAGGUAAAUGGGAUAGAAAAUAUAAACUCUCAGCACGAUGAAUUUUUACCAAGGUAUCCGAAAGCUCACGCUUUUUGUAAUCCUCAUUCGAGCCCUUCAUGACAGAAUGCCCACACAAGGGCCAAUCACCUGGUCAAAAAACUCCAUGGAUGGCCACGAGACUUCCCCACGUGACAAUACUAAAAGGUUUUGUCACUAAUGCCAUAGUUUUUUUUUGCAACAGACGAUUUUUGUAGGGUUUAUUACGACAAUAGUCCUUAUUUGUUGUAAUAGGGUGCCAUGUUGCCAUCAUUUUUAUAGCGUUGUGAUUACAAUUUUAGUGGUUGUAAUAGGUACUCUAUAUCACAACGAAUAUAUGUUGGUUAUAAUUGCGGCGACGUUAUUGCCACACUAUUUUAUAGUGGUGGCAAUAAUUGUCCAUAUUACAACGAUUAUAACACGUUGUGAUAAGUACUAUCGUGCGGCAAAAGAGUCUUAAAUAUAACAACGAACACAGUGUUGUUGCAAAAGAAAUCUUGGUUAUUACAACGAAAAUGAUGUUGUUGCAAAACAAAUAUUGGUUACAACAACAAAAAUAAAUAAUGUUGUAAAUGACUCUUAGAUAGUGCAACACUAGUAUGUAUUGUUGCAACUAGUAUUAGAUAUAGCAACGAAAAUGGUAUUGUUGCAAAAGAAAUCUUGGUUAUAACAACAAACACUCGAAUCGUUGCUAGACAGAAGGUGUUAUUGCAAUAAUAUAUAGUCGUUGCAAUGUAGGGGAACGCAUGGUUGUAAUAGAUAAGUUUGUGGGUGCCGCCAGCUUGGUUAUGUUGGUGGGCCUUUAUUUUGACCCACACAUAUGGCAGGCCUUUCUUUCACAAGCUGAGAGGUCUAAUCCUGAUCUAUCUCCUAGAGUCGCCUCCCCUCCUUCUUCACACGACACCUCUUCUUUGUGUGAUGUUGCCUUCAUCGCGCGAUCGCCGUCUGCCGUCGCCUUCCCUAGCGCACGAGUUGCCGAGUGCCAAGGAAGAGUUCCCUUGUUAGUCCUUCACGAUCUCUAGACGCGGGACGACACGGGCAUUGUCCGAUUCCAUCCUCUCAAUGCAAGGUAUAAAAUCGAUCCAGAUCUAUCGCAAUUAAUGUGCAUGCUGAUAAACUUGAGUUCUUCAAUUAGUAUAUAUAUUCAUUCAGUUUUUAUAAUACUUGUUGGUAGUAAUAAUACCGAUGAAGGAACCUAUAUUUUAUGCAGGUUAUUCAGGAGUUGUAUAGUAGUACAAACCUGUGCUUAAAUUAUUAGUUGGGUUUUUUGCAAUAUGGCACAUGAUCAUGAGGAUCGUAGUUGGAUGGAAUUGUCACAUACAGAUGCUGCGUGGCAAAACAGAGUUGCUAAAUUCAUUGAAGAUACCUUUGAUGGCACCUUUCCUGGACAGACUGCGCUCUGUCCAUGUAGAGGAUGUUGUCGCAUGGCAUAUCAAAAUAAAGAAGUUGUUGAGUUGCACUUGAAUACCAGAGGGUUUGAUCUGUAUUACAAAAAAUAGCAUCAUACUGGUAGAUCUGCUAAACGUAUUGUUGUGGACAAUGAUGACCGGGAUGUUUGUGAAGGUGAAGAAGGUGAUCAUGAUGAUGGCGUCGCAUCUAAUAAACUGCUUUCAUCGUUAAUUAGUGGUGCCAUACAUGGUGAAAUUAGAGGUGGUAAUAUUGAGGAGCCAAAUGAGUCAGCAAGGAAAUUGUUCAAGUUAAUGGAAGAAGCUAGAAAAGAACUAUACCCAGGUUGCAAGGAGGCUACCCAAAUAUCUUUUAUUAUGAGGCUAUAUUAGAUUAAGUGCAUGUUCAGUAUUAGCAACAAUGCUCUAGAGCAAGUACUAUUAUUAUUCUGCUAUGUGCUCCCCAAGGACCAUUGUGUCCCAGAUACCCUGGACAAAGUUCAAAAGGUAGUUCGAGACCUUGGCUUGGACUACCAAAAGAUUCAUGCUUGUGUUAAUGAUUGUGUGUUAUUCCGUGGAGAAGAGUACGAGAAGCUGAACACAUGUCCAAAAUGUGGGGAGAGUAAGUGGAAAGAUACAUAUUUAGAGUGUGGUGGUGAUGGCACUGGUGGAGUAAAGAAGAAGCUCUUACCUCGUAAGAUACUGAGGUAUUUUCCACUUAUUCCUCGAUUGUAGAGAUUAUAUAUGAACGAGAUCACAUCGGCGCAUAUGCGUUGGCACAAGGAAGAAUUGGUUGAAGAUGGGAAAGUGCGGCACCCAGCUAACUCAAAGGCAUGGAGGCACGUAGAUGCCAAGUAUACUGCAUUUGCAAGUGAUCCACGUAAUCUUAGGGUGGGACUUGCAUCGGAUUGCUUCAAUCCAUUUGGGAUGUUGAAUGUGACUUACACUAUAUGGCCAAUGAUCCUAAUUCCUUAUAACCUGCCUCCUUGGUUGUGCUUCAAACAAUCGUAUUGGAUGAUGUCGAUGCUAAUUCGUGGGCCUAAAUCUCCAGGAAUUAACAUUGAUGUAUAUUUGCAGCCUCUGAUCGAUGAGCUUAAAGAGCUAUGGGACAAUGGAGUUGAUACUUGGGAUGCGGAAAAAAAGAAAAUUUUACUCUGCGUGCAAUGCUACUUUGGACAAUUAAUGAUUUUCCUGCAUAUGCGAUGUUGUCUGGUUGGAGCACAAAAAGCAGGUUUGCUUGUCCUUGUUGCCACAAGGAUACUGAUUACUUAUGGUUAAAAUAUGGUUCAAAGCAUUGCUACAUGGGCCAUCGUCGUUUCUUGCCUAUGAACCACAGAUGGCGGAGGAACAAGGUUAGCUUCAAUAACAAGGUAGAAAUGAGGGAGACUCUAGUGCCCCUCAGUGGUGCACAAGUAGUGGAGCAGUACAAGAGUUUUGAGCAAGUCACUUUUUGAGCGACUACUUCAAGGAAGAGGAAGCAGCGCGAUGAAGAUAAUUGAUGGCACAACUGGAGGAAGAAGAGUAUUUUCUUUGACCUUCCUUACUGGGAUUAUCUGCUCAUACGCCAUAAUCUCGAUGUGAUGCAUAUUGAGAAGAAUAUAUGUGAGAGCUUGCUAGGGACAAUGCUUGAUUUGGCUGGUAAAAGUAAGGACGGUGAGAAGGCUAGACUCGAUAUGCAAGAAUUGGGUAUAAGGCAGGAUCAACAUAUAUUGUUUGAUGAUAAAGGAAAAUACACUUUGCCACCAACGUUGUACAAGUUAGGUGAUGAUCAGAAGGAAAUUCUGUGCAAUUUUCUUCAAGGUGUUAAGAUGCCUGAUGCUUGUGCCUCAAAUAUCAAGAGAUGUGUUAAUGUCAAUGGUUUUAAGGUUGCUAGACUUAAAAGUCAUGACUACCAUGUUAUAUUACAAAAACUUUUACCCUUGGUGGUGCGCCAAAUAUUGCCUUAAGAAGUAGUGAUCCCAUUGAUCGAGCUCAACAGGUUUUUUAGUUCAGUAUGUUCAAAGGAGCUUGAGGAAACUGAGAUGAAAGAACUUACUAAAUCAAUUGGAGAGACCCUGUCAGUGUUUUAGACUAGCAACCCACCUAGGGGGUACCCUAGGUGGUCUUUUGUGCGGUAAGGAUCGUUGAGAAUCAAGGAAUCAAUGGUGACGCAAGGAACACGAUUUAGACAGGUUCGGGCCGCUAGAUCGUGUAAUACCCUACAUCCUGUGUGUUGGUUUGUAUUGAUUUUGGAUGAACUAGAGUUGUUGUUGAGGGGGGUCCCUGCCCGUCCCUAUAUACACGGGAGGGCAGGGUUACAAGUCUGAGUCCUAGUCGAGUACUAUUACAGAGUUCUACUCGGUAAGACCCGAGUAAUUUUCCAUACACGUACUUGACUAGUUCCGAGUGGGAUAUGCCUAUCCUUUGUCCUGAUCGUGUCCAAGGUCUACUCGUGGGCCUGGGGUGCAUACCCGACAAGCCCUUGAGUACUUUGUAGUCGUGCGCCACAGUCUCUGGCACUGCGGGCACUAUCCGAGUAGUUCGUCGUAGAGGUUGCGGACCGAAGUGCUCGAGUACUGUCGCGUGGCUGGAAGGUACUCUUCUUGUUCCUUCGAGUUGUUUCUGUUCCGAGAAUUUUUAUAUGGUAGUGCGAUGUCAAUCGCACUCCAUAUGGAGUAGCCCCUGAGCCUUAGGUUUAGUCGAGGAGUCAGGCUUAGGGUCAAUCCAGCUUUUUGUUUGUUUUACCCUUGAAAUCUUGAAAAAGAAAAAACUGACCAUUGGGUACAGUACCCGCAGCCCCUGAGCACUUAGGUGAUCUCUGUCGUUGAAGUGGUCAGCAAUCCAUUGAAAAGAGUAGCCGUUGGGUGUUUAAGGCAAUUAAUCCUCUUAAAAUCCAUUCGUUGCAUAACUGACGCUUGGAAUCCGGAGGUGGCGGAGAUAAAACUGGAGGGCCCCCGUUCGGUUAGGUUUACCCCCAAUAGUAUUCAGAUCUGCUUUCCUUCCUCCCCUGCGCGUCUGCUCCACGUUUGCACCGCCGCAAUUGCCCAGUGCCACCACCGCCAUUAUUCUCCCUUGAGAGAGAUCCGAGAGUGAGUGCCUGUUGCUGAGGUUGUCAUUGGCGAAUGCACACCAAGAAGAUGGGCAAGAAACCCGAGAAGAUCCAGGGUAAGGCUCCAGCGGCAGGCAAGGCUCCGGCGGCGGGCAAGGUGAAGUCCAAGAAAGGGAAGGAACUGGUGCUGCCGGCGCCGAAGGUGGGGCCAACGAAUCAGACUGCGCUGCCACCGCCUGGACUGACGUGGCAGCAUUCGGUGAUGAAGGAGGAGGCCGUGCAAGCACUAGUCGAUGCCAAGCUUCUUCAGCCGAACGAGAUACUUGAGUGGCGCCCCGCAUUUCCAAAUGCGUGGCAAUUUGAGGAACAUCCAGCCGAGACAGUGAUGCUUGCACACUUUGUGGAGAGGGGGUUGGCAGUGCCCACCUCCGACUUCUUCAGAGGUAUUCUCGAGUACUAUAAGCUUCAACUUGUGCAUUUGAACCCCAAUGGUGUACUGCAUAUGUCGAUUUUUGUACACCUCCGCGAAGUGUAUUUGGGAGUUCCUCCAAGUCUCAAGUUGUUUAGGAAACUGUUCUGCUGUAAGCCUCAGCCGAGUGCUCAAAGGACAGAAGUCUUUAGAGGCGUCGGGUUCCAACUUAGGAACUCGGGCGCAUAUAUUGAGUAUAACUUGAUUGACUCCCAUGGGGAGUGGAAGAAAAGGUGGUUCUACAUCGGGAACCAUGAUCCUCGCUUGCCUGUGGUGACUGGUCACGCGCCCAAGCAUGCAGAAAACUAGGUGAGCGAACCCAAAGACACCCCCGAUCUUGACCACUUGAUGCAGCGAAUUACCGAGUUGAAGGCACUCGGUCUAACUGGGAUCAAUGUGGCGGCCAGCUUUCUGAAGAGAAGAGUCCAGCCGCUUCAAAAACGUGCUCACUCGAGAACUGAGUACACAUGUCUUAAGGAUCCAUCGCGUAUGUUCGAUGAGGAUAUAUCCGAUGAUGAUGUAGAGGCGCUGUUGGCCAAGUUCUUCAGGAACUAUCAGGGAGUACCAGUAAUCCCUGCGGCUCUUCGUCAGUACGAUGCCUGGUAUGAGCCAGAAGUGGUAUGUCUUUGCACCUGACUUGUACUUUUUGACUUGUGUGAUAUUUGUUGUUAAUAUUGACUUGUUUUUUUUUGUAGUCUCGAGUUCUUGCCGGCUACUUGGCGCAGUUGGAAGAAGAGUCAGAAACUGUUGCUGAGGAGUCAGAGGAUGAACCCUCUCCUCCUAUGAAGAAACGCAGAGUAGUCCGCAAGAUGUUUGCGGCUAAGUCUUCUUCAACCCCUAAGAAGUCUCGAGGUACCAAGGUAUGUAGUCGUGAACUCAUCUGUAGCUGAUGAAUUUGAACUUUCUAUUGUUGUAACUAAUUUGUCUUGUUCAUAAAGGCUGUUGACACGACGCUUGGUGAUGAUGAGGUUGCUUCUGAAGAAGUAGUCGUGACCGACCCGGACGUCGGUAAUGUGUCUGUUGAUAUGGUGCUAGAGAGGGUGCCAUCAACAGAAGUUGGAGUAGCCCCCGAGCUAUCCGCACCGGCUCCGUCGGCCGCCACGCUGCCCGUUACUGACUAGGCGGUCCUGGGGUUGCCCGCUGGAGCAGCGGGUGUUGCAAAGGAGGUGUCACCAGUAGUCGCUACUGGCGCCUUGUUGUCCAGCAUGAUCGCCAGUGGUAAGCGUUCUGUCCCGACUAGUUUCGUUUCUGAGUUGUAUUGUAGUCUUGACUUCUGCUUUACAGGUCUUUGCGAGAAGACAGCGCCGGCGGCUGUUCCUGUGGCACCGACUACUCGGCCACCUGUUGUCGAGAAGAAACGUGUGCGAUUUCCGCCACGCUCAACUCGGUGAGCUUGCUUAUCUGGUGUAUAUCUUUAAGUUGUCUUGAAGUCGUAUAAUGACGUUUCUUGAUGCAGGGAUGCGGAGGAAACUAUACCUGUGGAGGCAGGGGUAGAGUCGGAUCCCCCGACUACAUUUUCUGCUCCCUUGGAGGAUUUAAUUGUUGAGGAGGUACCCGAAGUCGACGCCGGUCGCCUUGGAGCUACCAUGUCCAUGCUCCAAGACAUCAUCCAUUCGGUGGAAGUUCCCGCCGCCGCGUCGGGUUCGGGAAGUGCUGCCUUAUCAACAUCCACUGACGAAUCUCUGGCUGUAGUGGGUGUCGAAAAAGCCAAAGAGGCAACUGCUCCAGGUAUGUUUCUGUAGUCCUGUUAUUGUAGUCGUGGCAAGCAGUUGACUGAUGAUAAAUGUUGUAGGUGCCACUUUGGGUACAGCUCCUCAUCUUGCGGAGAGUACUCAAAGACCAGUGCUCAGCCUGCCAUCUGACUCAAAGUUCUAGAGGGCCAUCGAUGUUUUCCGGAGCUUCCAGGUGAAUUUCCUUUGAGUUGUCACAUAGAUCAAGUAAUUGUGAGGCUUUUAACUAAUCGUAUUGCCUUGCAUACUCGGACCCUUCAGGAACGAAGUCAUCAAUGGGAGCAGGAAUGUGCGCGACUGACAGAAGCUCUGAGGGUUCACGAGGUUGGAGCGAAGUCUUUUGCUGUGGAACGUUCGGAUCAAGCAGUCCUGCAGCAAAAACUGGAGAGCCGCUACAAGUCUCUGGACAAAAAGUAUCAAGGUGAGUACUUUGCAUACUCCGAGUAUGUCCGAUUGUAGUCGGCUGUGGUUGAACUUGUUUGUCUUGUAGAGCUCAAGAGGCAAGAGGCGGCUGCAAGGAGCCAAGUCCUCGACUGGAGAAACGCGCACGAUCGAGUGGCGGAUGAAGCUGAACGUCUUCGGGCCGCGCUAAUGGAAGCACAGGCUGCUUGCGAGCAUCAGCGGGAUAGGAAGAUGCAGAAUGGCGUGAUGCUUGCCAUGGCCAUGGUGGCAUGUAGGGAUCAUGCCCAGACCAUGGGAAGACUCCGAGGCGAACUCUAGGAGCUGACUGUAGCAGCUGAAGACUUGGUGAACGCCAUAGCCCCCGUGGAAGAAGGCGUGGGGCCGCAAUCACUAGUCGAGCGAUUGAAGGCUGCCCCAAGUAAAGUGGUGGGACUCUGCAAAGCUGUCCUUGCAGUUGUGAAGUCCUACUACUCGAGGGUAGACUUGGCGACGACUGGUGACGGCGUGGCUCGCAACUGCACAGAAGAAGCAUAUGCGCAGUACCUCGAGGAGGCGAAGCCUAUCGCGUCGAAGAUGUUGGAGUUUGUCUCUCCAGAAGAGCCUUGGGCGUUGAACAAUAUUUUGAAAAAAGGAAUGCUUGCCCAUUGUUUUGUUGCUUGGAGUGGUUGUCUUGCGAAGAGUAGUUUUACUCUGUCUUGCCCGACCCAAAGUCCCGGGGUCGGCUAAGCCCGACCCCUUGAGGGAGGAGCUCCGCCUCGCCCGACCCUAAGUCCUAGGGUCGGGUGCGCCCGACCCCUGAGCAGAGGGUCGGAGUAUUCCAAGCCCCCGAGACAAUGAUGUGCGCGUAGGCCGUGCUUGGCUUAGAGUAGUUCUGAGUGUCGAGUAGUCGCGAUGCUGUCGGGUACUCUACUUUUGAGGGUGCACGGGUGUAUUGUACUCAUCCUUUGUGGAUGCACGGGUGGAUAGAGUCAGAAGUCGUCAGACUCAUUGAUCACGGGCGCACAGUAACUCUUGGGUAGGUGGUAGUUGCAGCUCUUCGGCUAUAGAUAGGUCCUUCUGGAGGUCGACCCGAAUCAAGUUUCUGAGUAGCAAUGGAUUGCCUUCGGUUGCUAUUGUUUGAGUGUACAGAGCCACCAAAGAGUGCACCGGUGCUAGAAGAUUCCUCGUAGAUUGAGGCCACCUUCCCUCCACAGACUCCUGUGCUCGUAGGGAUAACCGCGAUGCUAGAAGAAUUCUCGUAGGAGGUUUCAUCGCGCGCCUCAUCUUGCAGCUCGUGAUCCAGUGGGGUACGCGCUGGAACUCGCGGGUGAUGGGUGAUGAGUGCCGCGGUCUUUAUCCCUCUCUCUUAGAGGUGGAGGUGUGGCCGUAGAGUGGAUUGGCUCCACAAGGCUAGCCAAAGAGCAGCCUUGGUUCCCUCUAGGCGUGUCGCGUGGGGUUCAUUGUUGCCGCUGUCAAGGCAGUGGCGAUGCAGGAGUUCCUAGCGUUGCCUUGGGUAGAGGACCUGGAUAUGGCUGCGUUUUGCACAGCUUCCUUGCAUGUAGGCCCUUCCCAUUGUGGUCGGCAGACCUGAGUGGCCUUGUGAUAUAGUAAAAGCCUGAGGCUUAAAUACAGCCCGCUAGUAGGUAGUUGCUUGUAGUCUUUGUGUAUUCCGAGUACUAAUACUCGCAUGUAAUCUUGAUGAUGUAUCUUCAGUUUUGAGUAAAGAAUUACUUGACGGAAAUUGUGUACCAUGGCAGUGAUCCUUGUUGAGUUGAUAAAUCUUGAGUUAAGACUGAUGUAUUUUGAAGUCGGUAGUCGAGCUGUUAGCUCGAGUAGUCAUUAUGAGUUGUUGCCUUGAAGCAAUUACUCAAAUGAUUUUAUGGGUAAUAGCGACAAAGAUGUUCUAUAUUCCAAGAGUUUGGUACUUGUUCACCGGAAAGCUCUUGGAGUCUGUAAGAUCCAGGUCUCGUAACCUUUGAUAUGAUGUAAGGACCUUCCCAUGGUGAAUUGAUUUUAUGCAACCCCAUCGUGUCCUGGAUUCACUUGAGGACCAUAUCUCCCAAGUUAAAAGAUCGUUCCUUGACGUUGCGGUCGUGGUAACGCCUCAAACCGUCAAGGUACCUGGCAGAUUGCACUAGCGCUGCGCAUCUUGCUUCUUCUAGACUGUCUAGAUCUGUUCGCCUAGUUUCUUCUGCCAGCUCUUCGUCAUAUUGUUCAACUGAAGGUGAUUGCCACAAGAUGUCGGCGGGUAGUAUGGCUUCCGACCCAUACAUGAGGAAAUAGGGCGAGAGCCCAGUAGUCUUGCAUGGUUGGGUACGUAGGCCCCACAAAGCAUUGGGUAACUCUUUGAGCCAUUUGCCGCCUUUGGUGUUGCCAACGUCAUGUAGUCUCUUCUUCAGGGCAUCGAGUAUCAUGCCAUUAGCACGCUUGACUUGUCCAUUGGCUCGCGGGUGAGCGACCAAGACAUAGCGGACGUCGAUGCCGCUAUUCUCGCAGUAUUCCCAAAAGUCGGUAUUGUUGAAGUUUGACCCUAGGUCUGUGAUAAUCCUUUUGGGAAAACCGUAGCGGUGUACGAUUUUGUCCAAGAAGUCGAGGACCCGGUUUGCACUGGGGCAAGUGACUGGUUUGACCUCGAUCCACUUGGUGAAUUUGUCGAUUGCCACGAGUACUCAGUUGAAUCCUCCUGGCGCAGUUGGUAAUGGCCCUAUCAUGUCGAGCCCCCAGUAGGCAAACAACCAUGUUGGAGGUAUUGUGACUAGCUUGUAGGCAGGUACAUGUUGUUGUUUGGUAAAGAAUUGACAACCUUUGCACUUCUGAACUAAUUGUUUAGCAUCGGCCAGAGUCAUUGGCUAGUAGAAGCCUGCUCUGAAAGCCUUGCCAACUAUUGUCCGUGAAGAGGCGUGGUUGCCACAGAUUCCUUUGUGAAUUUCCUUUAAGAUUUCUUGGCCGUCUUCCCGGGUAACGCACUUCAUGAGUACCCCGGAUGAUGCACCUUUCCUGUAGAGCUUGUCUCCGACUAGAACGUAAUUUUUUACUCGUCGGGAGAUUUGUUCAGCCUUAUUUUUGUCAGAUGGUAACUGGUGAUCUUUGAUGUAGUCGAUGAAGGGUGUCCUCCAGUCGACUUUUAUCAUCAUGAUUUCACGAGAGACGUCAGCAGUCGGGACCGCUGGCGGUGUGACUUGUUCAGGUAUGGACGGCUUGCGCAGUUCGUGUACGAAUAUUACUACUGGAACCUCUGCACGAGUUGAGCCCAUUUUGGAUAAGACGUCGGCGGCAAUGUUGUUGUCGCGGACGAUGUGAUGAAAUUCCAAGCCUGAGAACUUGUUUUCCAGCUUACGGACUUCUUUGCAGUAAGCAUCCAUGUUGUCCUUGUUUCAGUCCCACUUGUCAUUGACCUGGUUUAUAACGACUAGAGAGUCGCCGUACAUCAGUAGUCUUUUGAUGCUGAGGGAGAUUGCAAGGCGAAGGCCGUGUAGUAGUGCUUCAUAUUCGGCUUCAUUGUUAGAUGCUUCCUAGAAGAUUUGCAGUACGUAUUUGAGCUAGUCUCCCUUGGGGGAGAUGAGUAAUACGCCUGCACCGGCUCCAUCGAGUUUGAGGGACCCGUCGAAGUACACCCAGUGUUCUGGCCGUUCGAUUGGUGUUGGUACUUGAUUUUUAGUCCAUUCAGCUAUGAAGUCGACCAAAGCUUGGGAUUUGAUAGCUAUCCUUGGCUUGAAGUCCAAGGUGAGAGAUCCGAGUUCAACUGCCCAUUUGGAGAUUCUACCCGUGGCAUCUCUGUUGUGAAGAAUUUCGCCGAGUGGUAAGUCAGAGAUGACUGUGAUGUUGUGCUCUUGGAAAUAAUGGCGCAGUUUCUGGGAGGUGAGCAAAAUUGCGUAUAAGAGCUUUUGUAUCGGUGAAUACCGAGUUUUGGAGUCCGAGAGUACUUCGCUGACGAAGUAGACAGGUUGUUGGACCUUGUAAGCGUUGCCCAGUUCAGACUGUUCGACUACUAUUGCCGUGCUGAUGACAUGAGUAGUAGCUGAUAUGUAUAGGAGCAAGUCUUCAUUCGGAGAAGGAGCGGUGAGUACAGGAGGCUUUGACAGAAAGUCUUUGAGUUGUGUUAAUGCCUUGUCUGCCUCUUCCGUCCAUUUGAACUUGUCCUGGCAUUAGAGAAGCUUAAAGAAGGGUAGUCCCCGUUCGCCAAGUCUCGAGAUGAACUGGUUGAGAGCGGCCAUGCAGCCUGUGAGUUUCUGCACAUCCUUAAUGCUAGCUGGUGCUUGCAUGUUUGUGAUGGCAGAUAUUUUUCAGGGUUGGCCUCAAUGCCGCGAUGGCUAAUGAUGAACCCGAGUAGCUUGCCAGAAGGUACUCCAAAGACGCACUUAGUGGGAUUGAGUUUCCAUCGGAAAGCACAUAGACUAGAGAAAGUUUCCUCCAAAUUCGCAAUGAGUUCCUCCUGGUUUCUUGUUUUGACGACUACGUCGUCGACAUAAGCUUCGACAUUGCGGUGAAGCUGCUUCUAGAAGCACAUCUGGAUAGCUCGUUGAUAGGUUGCCCCUGCAUUUUGUAGUCCGAAGGACAUUGUUUUGU